This 2378-nucleotide long non-coding RNA is filed under the name Vitis vinifera (wine grape). RNAcentral's name for it is "long non-coding RNA (VVIN_LNC006182)". The record is from RNAcentral. Lineage: Eukaryota; Viridiplantae; Streptophyta; Magnoliopsida; Vitales; Vitaceae.
GAUGAAUCAUGUAUCCAAGCUAUGCUUUUUGCUAGCUCACAUGUGUUCCCCACGAUCUUGAACACUGCGGUUGAGCUAAACCUGUUUGAGAUCAUCGCUCGAGCAGGCCCUGGUGCUUAUGUCUCACCCUCUGAGAUCGCAUCCCAGCUUCCCACCCAAAACCCCAAUGCACCUUGUUUUAUGGAUCGGAUGCUGCGUCUAUUUGCUAGUCACGGGCUUCUAUCUUACAGCCUGCGCACACUCGAAGAUGGCAGAGUUGAUAGGCUUUAUGGUCUCACUCCCGUUUGUAAAUUCUUUCUUAGGAGUGAUGAUGGGAGUUGUUUGGCUUCCUUAUCGACCCUGGGUUCCCACCGAGCUAUGAGGGAAGUUUGGUCUGCACUUUCACCCUAAUUUUGUUUUUCAGGCAUAUUUCUUUCAAAUUUGAUCUGCAAAAUAUUUCCUACAGUUUACAAUAGCAUGUUCUGCACAAUAUCUCCAUGAUCUCCUACAGUAUGCUAAUCAUCAUCAUGUAAUGUGUAGGCCACACUUGAAGGACGCCAUUCUUAAAGGUGGUAAUCAAUUCCAGAAAGUCCACGGGAUGAGUAUGUUUGAGUACAUGGACAAGGACCCGACACUAAACAAGGCCUUCAAUGAGGCAAUGGUUGGUCGCUCCACCAUAAUCAUGAAGAAAAUCGUGGAGACCUACCAGGGGUUUGAGGGAUUAGCAUCACUUGUGGACGUGGGCGGUGGAACCGGUGCAAACCUUAACAUGAUCAUUUCCAAGUAUCCUUCCAUCAAAGGCAUCAACUUUGAUUUGCCACAUGUUGUGCAAACUGCACCAACUUAUCCGGGUAAUAAUUAAUUAUUUUUUCUCAUCUCUUACUAAGUGUGUUUGAGAGUAUUUAUAAUUAAUAGAAAUGUUUUUUUUUUGUAAAUGUUUUUAUAAGGAUCACCUAUCAAGUCUUUUUCCAAAAAACACUAUACAUGAUUUUUCAACACUAUAAUUAAUUUCUCAAAAUUUUAAAAAUGUUCAUAAAUUUUACUAAAUACCUAAUAUUUUUUUAAAAAUAUUUUUUAGACUAAAAAGAUUUAUUAGAAUCACUAUCAAACGAACUCUAAGGCUCUAUUUGACAACUGUUUUUAAUAACAGUUUCUUGCUUUUUAAAAUAAAAAAAACAGAAAAAUACGUUUGACAAUUAAAAACUGUUUUCUAUUUUUUUUUUUUUAGAUUACUUCUUUUAGCUGUUUUCUAUUUUUUUUAAAGUUGUUUUAAAGAAUAAUUAUAUAAACAUAUAUAAUGAUUAAAAAUAAAGUUAUGAACAUAAAAAUUAUUUUUAAAACAUAUUUAAAAAUAUUAAAAAUAUGUUUAAAACAAUUUUAAUAAGUGAUAAAAAUAUAAAAGAUCCAUAGUAAUUAUGCUUACUGUUUUAAUAACAAUAUAAAGACUCCUUAAUUUCAACCACACACUCAUGGUCUUUUUCGAGGAUGUGGUGCUCAACAUGAUCAAAGAAAGAGAACAUAACCAUAUUGGAAAAAAAUUGAUCAAUACCAUAAUGUGAAGGAUUGAAAUUUGAUUUUUAGUUGUAUAAGUUAGGUACCAAAUUUAUAGGUAAAGAUAUAGAGGCCAAAACAUAGUAAAUUAAUAGAGAGAGAGAGAGAGCAACAAAGUAUGAGUCUAAAAAAAAUGAGGCAAAUGGUUGGAUGAUCAUGAAAUUUGACUUUUUGUUGCAUAAGUUAGAUACCAAUUUUUCUAGGUAAGAAUAUUGAAUAUUAGUUGUCAUUUGGCUUAUAUAUAGAAGAUAGAUAGAUAGAUAGAGAGAGAGAGAGAGUAAUAAAGUAAGAGUCUUAAAAAAGAUGAGGCAAAUCAUUGGAUGAGGAUGAAUCAUGAAAUUUGACUUUUUGUUGCAUAAGUUAGAUAUCAAUUUUUCUAGGUAAGAAUAUUGAAUAUUAGUUGUCAUUUGGCUUAUAUAUAGAAGAUGUAGAGGCCAAAACAUAGUAAAUUAAUAGAGAGAGGAAUAUUAGAGCAACAAAGUAUGAGUCUCAAAAAAGAUGAGGCAUAUCGUUGGAUGAGCGAAGAGGAUGAAUCAUGUAUCCAAGCUAUGCUUUUUGCUAGCUCACAUGUGUUCCCCACGAUCUUGAACACUGCGGUUGAGCUAAAUCUGUUUGAGAUCAUCGCUCGAGCAGGCCCUGGUGCUUAUGUCUCACCCUCUGAGAUCGCAUCCCAGCUUCCCACCCAAAACCCCAAUGCACCUUGUUUUAUGGAUCGGAUGCUGCGUCUAUUUGCUAGUCACGGGCUUCUAUCUUACAGCCUGCGCACACUCGAAGAUGGCAGAGUUGAUAGGCUUUAUGGUCUCACUCCCGUUUGUAAAUUCUUUCUUAGGAGUGAUGAUGGGAGUUGU